RNAcentral lists this ribosomal RNA (98 nucleotides) under Photorhabdus luminescens. The record is from RNAcentral. Lineage: Bacteria; Pseudomonadati; Pseudomonadota; Gammaproteobacteria; Enterobacterales; Morganellaceae.
GCGGUCCCACCUGACCCCAUGCCGAACUCAGCAGUGAAACGCCGUAGCGCCGAUGGUAGUGUGGGGUCUCCCCAUGUGAGAGUAGGGAACUGCCAGGC